GGUGAACGCUGGCGGCGUGCCUAAUACAUGCAAGUCGAGCGACAACACAAUGAUCUUUCUCUUCUGCCGUUAGCGUCUGACGGGUGUGUAACACUUUCAUCACCUACUUCUUAUACUUGGAUCAUUUCUGGAAACCGGCUCUCCUACCGGCUAAUACUUUCUACCGCAUGGUUCAAUAGUUCUUGACUCUUUUUCUGUCUCCUAUAGCUGUAUCCGCUCUGCAUUAGCUAGUUGGUAAGGUAACGGCUUACCAAGGCUACGAUGCGUAGCCGACCUGAGAGGAUGAUCAGCAAAACUGGAACUGAGACACGGUCCAGACUACUACGGGAGGCAGCAGUAGGGAAUAUUCCGCAAUGGGCGAAAGCCUGACGGAGCAAUGCCGCGUGAAUGAUGAAGGUCUUCGGAUCGUAAAACUCUGUUAUUAGGGAAGAACAAAUGUGGAAGUAACUAUGCACGUCUUGACGGUACCUAAUGAGAAAGCCACGGCUAACUACGUG
RNAcentral lists this ribosomal RNA (497 nucleotides) under uncultured bacterium. RNAcentral describes it as "partial 16S ribosomal RNA". It matches the Rfam family "Bacterial small subunit ribosomal RNA", at positions 28 to 507 of the family's 1533-position model. The record is from RNAcentral.